GUAGGGGGCAAGCGUUAUCCGGAUUUACUGGGUGUAAAGGGAGCGUAGACGGCGAAGCAAGUCUGAAGUGAAAACCCAGGGCUUAACCCCCGGACUGCUUUGGAAACUGUAAAACUGGAGUGCAGGAGAGGUAAGUGGAAUUCCUAGUGUAGCGGUGAAAUGCGUAGAUAUUAGGAGGAACACCAGUGGCGAAGGCGGCUUACUGGACUGUAACUGACGUUGAGGCUCGAAAGCGUGGGGAGC
RNAcentral lists this ribosomal RNA (243 nucleotides) under uncultured bacterium. Its description in RNAcentral is "partial 16S ribosomal RNA". It matches the Rfam family "Bacterial small subunit ribosomal RNA", at positions 527 to 769 of the family's 1533-position model. The record is from RNAcentral.